CAUGAUACAUUCCUCCCAUUUCUAAAAACCCAUGAAACAUGAGUCAAACUUGUCAUCUAUAGAUUCCUUACUCAUGUAUCAUUGUCCCAGAAAGAAUUUGUAAGGAUUGGAAGCAAGGAAAAUUUUUAGAAGCGAAAAGGAAGAGAAAAGAAAAAUUUCUGAACUUGGGUCGACCCAACCCAGAAUAGGGUCGACCCAACGUUGAGUCGACCUAAGAAAAUUCUUGAGUCGACCCAACGUCGGGACCCCACUGUUAAAAGGGGGACCCG
Molecule: long non-coding RNA, 269 nt
Filed under: Phoenix dactylifera (date palm)
Lineage: Eukaryota; Viridiplantae; Streptophyta; Magnoliopsida; Arecales; Arecaceae
Description: long non-coding RNA (PDAC_LNC016822)
Source: RNAcentral